AGAAGAGAAUCCCAGAGAAUAUCCACUCUUAAGUGAUGGGCAGAGGAAGAGGAACUUGAAAUAAUCCCAAGAAGAAAUAGGUGGACAGGUAGGAGGAAAACUAGGAGAGGGUGGUGCCGUUUGAUCCAAGAAGACAGUCCCAAGUAACAGAGUAGAUGGGCAAGGACAUGAUUGUGCUUCUUACUUCCAGUGCAUUUCCAAACUCUUGUUGGAGAAGUUUCUUAAGUUCUGUCUUGCUCAGCCUCUGAAAGUCUCCGUCACUUUUUGCGUAAGAGUGGAAAACGUCGAUGAUACUGACGAUGCUUCUCAGAAGACAAUGAGGCAUCUUGUUUAGCCAACUGGAGUGCACCUGGAAUGGGACAAAGAAUCCCCAGUUUAUUUCAUAUUCCUGAAUUGCUGCAAUCUCUUCUUUCUCCAUCUCUUGGAGGCAGAUUUCAGUGUAAAGAUUUGACCUAUUUGUAAUGCCAGAUGUCUAGUUGGCUCUGGAAAUUUGUGAAAUUUUUAGUUCAUAUAUCAUUUGCCAUGAUAGUAAUCUUACUAUAAUCCCUAAAAAGAAGAGGGGCAAAACUGAACAGGCUCCCUUGCUUCUGUAUCCAUGAAUGCUCUGCAUAGAAAUCACUUGGAAUGAAGAUGGCACUGCCUCUGCUUCCACAUCUAGUGUGUGGAUAGUGCUGAUGGGAAGGUCGCAAAGGGCUGUUGAUACUGUACUGCCUGAGCCAGGGAGUAAAAUGCAGGUUGAGAGAAUCAAUCUGCAUUAAAUUGUCUUUUUCUUUGUACUUAACCCUGUUAUGAUAUAUAUCACAUUGUACUUUAAUUGCUUGUUUUUUAUCUGACUCCUUUAUUGUUUUAUUUUUAAUUUUUUUAGGGCCACGCCUAUGGCAUAUGGAAGUUCCUAGGCUAGGGGUCGAAUUGGAGCUACAGCUGCCGACAUAUGCCACAGCCACAGCAAUGCGGGAUCCGAGCUGAGUCUGCAACCUACACCUCAGCUCAGGGCAAUCCCUGGCCUCCUUAACCCACUGAGCAAGGCCAGGGAUUGAAUCUGCAUCCUCAUGGAUACUAGUCGGGUUCAAUUCCACUGAGCCAUGACAGGAACUCCUCUGACUUCUUUAAAGAUUGUUCUGUGAGGGGCCAGACCAUAUCAUCUCUAUUUUAUAUUUAUCCUAGUGUCUAGAAUAUAAUAGACGUUCAGUAAGUGUUUUAUGCAUGGAUACAGGAGCCAGUGAAUGAUUCCUAGUUGGAGUGCUUUGUUGGAUUAGAUCUGUGGUUCCCACUCAUUGCUCUACUGUGGGAUCACCAGGAGAAACUUUAGAGAAAUAAAGACUCCAGGUUCCACCUCCAGAAAUAGUGACUCAGGAGGUAUGUAGUGGGACCCUGGACUCUACAUUUAAAAAGCUCCUGGCUGAUUCCAAUGCAGCUUCUAGAACUGCUGGCCACCUGACCUCUGAGGUCUUUUGCAGCCAGAAGUUUACGUGACAGCAAUAGUGAUGAAUUAACUGGUUCAACUAGCAUCUGUUAACUAUUUCUUUGGUGCCACUGCUGUGGUGUGUUCUAGAAAUGUGAGAGGAAUAAGAAACCGUUCCUUUCUUCAAGGAACUUGAUGCCUGGAGGAGGAGGUACAGAGUAGCACAAUAAAGUCCAAUAAUGUACAUGUAGCAGUGGUUGGAGACCAAGGCAGGAAGUGUCCUUCAGAGGCCACCCUUCCUGAAGAUGAUAGAGGAGUAUUCUCAAAACAAUAGCUUUUAAGCAAAACCCACUAGGAUUUUGCCCCUCUUUUCCUAAUAAGGACCUGUCAUUGUUGGCAAUGUCAUAGAAUGCUCCAGAAAGGCAAAAUUACAACAGCAGAGUUUAGUUGUCUAUGUAAGAGUACCAAGAAAAGGAAACUUAUAAAAACAGAAAUAGAAUUUUUUUCUUGAGGACUUACCUAAGUUGCCAAGAAAAUGGAGGACUCAGCUGAGAGCAUGUAGAAUACUGGGUUUGCUUAUAUAGGGGUUUUAAUUGCACCUUUUAGCCAGAAAUCUUUUGCAGACAACACCCGUGGUGUGUGAUGGACUGAUUCAUUGCCAGCCAAACUGCAUUCCACCUGUUUCUUCUCCGUUGGGCUUUUUAAUCUCAGCAUUUCCUUGAAUACCACUCCUAUUUUGCAUUCUCUCAGCCUGGCCCCCAGGGGACAGCUACGUCUCACACUCACCAUAAGGCCAUAGCACCACCAGAGUGUGUUGACAAGAUGCUAAAUUGCUCUCAAGAAAAACUCUGUGAACCAACAAUAUGUUCAUCUCUUGGAGGUAAAAUAUGUUGAUUCUUAAAUUUGAGCCAUUUCAGUCCUAAACGAGGUCUCUUUCCUAGUUUUCAACAGCACAUUUGAUUUGUCUGUGUUGGGGCUGAAGGAUUUGAUUACAUUAGAUGUUUGCUCUCAUGUGAUGAGCCACACAAAUCUGGCCUGUCUUAACUCCCAUCUGGCUUGUUCCCUCACCAAUGUUCCUCUCACCUCUGUUCCUUGUGACCCGUCUCUCUGUGUCCAAAUGCGGUCAAAGCAUAAGGUGCUCACACUGCAUUGAAGAUAAUACUUUUCUUUUUUUUUUUUUCCUGCUUCUCACGGCAUAUGGAGGGUCCCAGGCUAGGGGUCCAAUUGGAGCUACAGCUGCCGGCCUACACCACAGCCACAGCAACACCAGAUCCGAGCCAUGUCUUCUACCUACACCACUGCUCUCGGCAUCACCGGAUCCUUAACCCACUAGGCGAAGCCAGGUAUCAAACCCCAAACCUCCUGGUUCCUAGUUGGAGUCGUUUCCAUUGUGCCACGAUGGGAACUCUGAUAAUACUUUUCUUUUUUGAUGAUCACAGCAGUUUGGACCCAGGAGAGAGUCUGCGAGCUGCCAAGUUAGUGGACCAGUCCAUUGAACUUUCACAGCUUUUCUAGAAUUUCGCCAAUUCUAUAAAACCCAGGAACAUUUCUAUUAGGUUCUGUUCCCUUUGACUAUCAUAAAUCUAGAAGGAAGAUUUUUCAUUAUUAUUAAAAACCCUUUUCAGUUUCACCAGCUUACAAAUUGUUCCUUGGUUUAUAAAGAAAUUAUGUAUGGGUGGAUGCACUCUUAUAGAAUCUUUUAUGACAGUCAAAAUAAUUUCCACUUAUCUUUUUUGAAGAAAAUUUGCAGACUUUUCUUAGAGAUAGCUAGUCUUUAUUAAUCCUAAUAGCUACAGGGUAAACUGUAUCAGUUGCCUUGUGGCUAUGACAAACUGAUAAGAACUGUAUUUUCUGAGGAGCUUGACAGUUCCUUUUUUGCUAGUUUGAUUUUGAAAACAGCUCCAGGAGCAGAUAUUUUUAUCUCCAUUUCACUAAAGGAAAUACUGAGGCCACAGGAGGUGGUUGUUUUCCCAAAGUAGCCGUGGGCCUGGAUCCCAAAUCUUUGUACCUCUAAUUUGGUUUAAGUCACUUAUGUGGCUUUGUGGCUUCGUAUAUUAAUGUAGUAAAGACAUUUUGAAUUUUUUUCCCAGAGUCUGUAACAAAAACACGAAAUGUCAGUUCUACUGUUUCUCUCCUGAACAUGCCCAUGGCCCUGGGUGAUUUUUUUCAGCAAAUGCCAAAAGUAUAUUAUUUAUUUUUAAAAAAAUGAAACAAAAAAGCUUUUGUAAGAAGGUAUUCCAAAUAUUUGAUUCCAUAAUAAUAUUUCACUAUUUUUGAAUUUGUGUUGGAACCUCUGUCAUGCCCAUAUUCAGAGGGCCCUCAGGCAUGGGCUGAAAUGUUUUCUAGCGACUGAAGGAGGAUGAGGGAGGCCUGACCCCCUCCCCCCAGUCCUCAUGCCACCCACCCGCCUGUGACCACGGGGGAGCAGGUUGUCCUGCGUGCUAGGGGCAGGGGCCUGAUGAAUGGGCUUCCUCUGGUCAUUAGUUGCCAUCUUUGGGUUGAGUAAUAACAGUAAUACAGAUAAUUCUUGCUUUUAAAGGAAUCGUCCUUGGGUAAAUGUCUUUGCACCCUCUUGGUAAAUCAGUCUUUGGCAGCCAGGCCUGCUGCCUCUGUUUUUUUUUUUUUUUUAAUAAAAGAAAAUAAGCUUUAUUUUUUAAAGCACUUCUUAGUUCACAACAAUAAUGAGCAGAAGAUUCAGUCAUUUCCCACAUGUUCAUUGCCCCCCUCCCCCCACAGGCAUAGCCUCUCCCACUGGCAACCUGUACAUCAUUAUUUUAAACAUAGUAUGUAUUGUUAAACUUAUAUAGUUAUACGCGUAUCUUUUAUACAUUCUAGGAAUGGCAAAGACCGAAUUAUAGCAUAUUGUUUUUCAGAUAGAUACAUUU
RNAcentral lists this long non-coding RNA (4287 nucleotides) under Sus scrofa (pig). RNAcentral's name for it is "lncRNA (ENSSSCG00000057017.1)". The record is from RNAcentral. Lineage: Eukaryota; Metazoa; Chordata; Mammalia; Artiodactyla; Suidae.